This 405-nucleotide ribosomal RNA is filed under the name uncultured Hyphomicrobiales bacterium. Its description in RNAcentral is "bacterial SSU rRNA". It matches the Rfam family "Bacterial small subunit ribosomal RNA", at positions 355 to 776 of the family's 1533-position model. Lineage: Bacteria; Pseudomonadati; Pseudomonadota; Alphaproteobacteria; Hyphomicrobiales. The record is from RNAcentral.
UGGGGAAUAUUGGACAAUGGGCGCAAGCCUGAUCCAGCCAUGCCGCGUGAGUGAUGAAGGCCUUAGGGUUGUAAAGCUCUUUCGGCGGGGACGAUAAUGACGGUACCCGCAGAAGAAGCCCCGGCUAACUUCGUGCCAGCAGCCGCGGUAAUACGAAGGGGGCUAGCGUUGUUCGGAAUCACUGGGCGUAAAGCGCACGCAGGCGGGUCGUUAAGUCAGGGGUGAAAUCCCGAGGCUCAACCUCGGAACUGCCUUUGAUACUGGCGACCUUGGAGUCCGGGAGAGGUGAGUGGAACUCCGAGUGUAGAGGUGAAAUUCGUAGAUAUUCGGAAGAACACCAGUGGCGAAGGCGGCUCACUGGCCCGGUACUGACGCUCAUGUGCGAAAGCGUGGGGAGCAAACAGG